AGCCAUUGUUGAGGCGAAGGAGCUUCAAGCACCACGAACUCUCGAGGUCUAUACAAGGGUGGUAAUGAUCCAGAUUGGUCAUAGAUUUGAGGGGAAGGACACUAAUAACAACAUAAUUUGUGAUGGAUAUCUGUAAGGCUGCGGUCCAGAAGGUAAAGGUGAUGAAGUCGGUCUCAUAGGUUUUGGACACGGAAUGUAUGGUGGUGGUAAUCGGUGUACUGGUGAUUGGCGAGUAGGAGUUGCUGGUCUAAAAGACACAGGAGGUGAAGUAACAGAAGGCACUGGAGCCCAACCUUUUGGAUGAGCUGGUGGUCUUGACAUUUUUUAGUUACAAUUUCAGUCUAAAAGUUAUUUAAAAAAAAAAUACAAAACGAAAUUUAUUA
This is a long non-coding RNA of Daktulosphaira vitifoliae (grape phylloxera), 383 nucleotides long. RefSeq lists it as uncharacterized. NCBI's taxonomy places the organism in Eukaryota, Metazoa, Arthropoda, Insecta, Hemiptera, Phylloxeridae. The transcript is spliced from 2 exons. The record is from RefSeq and is a predicted model, not a curated record.